This 253-nucleotide ribosomal RNA is filed under the name uncultured bacterium. Its description in RNAcentral is "partial 16S ribosomal RNA". It matches the Rfam family "Bacterial small subunit ribosomal RNA", at positions 524 to 776 of the family's 1533-position model. The record is from RNAcentral.
UACGUAGGGCGCAAGCGUUGUCCGGAAUUAUUGGGCGUAAAGAGCUCGUAGGCGGUUCGUCGCGUCGGCUGUGAAAUCCCGGAGCUCAACUCCGGGUCUGCAGUCGAUACGGGCGGACUUGAGUACUGCAGGGGAGACUGGAAUUCCUGGUGUAGCGGUGAAAUGCGCAGAUAUCAGGAGGAACACCGGUGGCGAAGGCGGGUCUCUGGGCAGUAACUGACGCUGAGGAGCGAAAGCGUGGGGAGCGAACAGG